GGUGCUGUACUUUAUAGAAAAGGUUCGUUUUGCAUGCGAAAAUAGAGUUUUUUAGCUCCUGGGCCA
This 66-nucleotide transfer RNA is filed under the name Quasilineus sinicus. Its description in RNAcentral is "tRNA-Ala". Lineage: Eukaryota; Metazoa; Nemertea; Pilidiophora; Heteronemertea; Lineidae. The record is from RNAcentral.